This 64-nucleotide transfer RNA is filed under the name Diplosoma listerianum. Its description in RNAcentral is "transfer RNA-Pro". Lineage: Eukaryota; Metazoa; Chordata; Ascidiacea; Aplousobranchia; Didemnidae. The record is from RNAcentral.
UAUCAAUUAGUUUAUUUAAAAUAUAGAUUUUGGUGAUCUAAGUAAUUAAUUUUAAUAUUGGUAG